This 342-nucleotide ribosomal RNA is filed under the name bacterium enrichment culture clone 5. Its description in RNAcentral is "bacterial SSU rRNA". It matches the Rfam family "Bacterial small subunit ribosomal RNA", at positions 165 to 525 of the family's 1533-position model. The record is from RNAcentral.
AAUACCGCAUAAUAUACGCAUAUUUANCGACGCGUAUCAAAGGAGAAAUCCGCUUUGAGAUGGGCCCGCGGCGCAUUAGCUAGUUGGAGAGGUAACGGCUCACCAAGGCGACGAUGCGUAGCCGACCUGAGAGGGUGAUCGGCCACAUUGGAACUGAGACACGGUCCAGACUCCUACGGGAGGCAGCAGUGGGGAAUAUUGCACAAUGGGGGAAACCCUGAUGCAGCAACGCCGCGUGAACGAAGAAGGCCUUCGGGUCGUAAAGUUCUUUGAUUGGGGACGAUAAUGACGGUACCCAAAAAACAAGCCACGGCUAACUACGUGCCAGCAGCCGCGGUAAUA